GACGAACGCUGGCGGCGUGCUUAACACAUGCAAGUCGAACGGAAAGGCCCUGCUUUUGUGGGGUGCUCGAGUGGCGAACGGGUGAGUAACACGUGAGUAACCUGCCCUUGACUUUGGGAUAACUUCAGGAAACUGGGGCUAAUACCGGAUAGGAGCUCCUGCUGCAUGGUGGGGGUUGGAAAGUUUCGGCGGUUGGGGAUGGACUCGCGGCUUAUCAGCUUGUUGGUGGGGUAGUGGCUUACCAAGGCUUUGACGGGUAGCCGGCCUGAGAGGGUGACCGGCCACAUUGGGACUGAGAUACGGCCCAGACUCCUACGGGGGGCAGCAGUGGGGAAUAUUGCACAAUGGGCGGAAGCCUGAUGCAGCAACGCCGCGUGCGGGAUGACGGCCUUCGGGUUGUAAACCGCUUUCGCCUGUGACGAAGCGUGAUUGACGUUAAUAGGUAAAGAAGCACCGGCUAACUACGUG
Molecule: ribosomal RNA, 468 nt
Filed under: uncultured bacterium
Lineage: Bacteria
Description: partial 16S ribosomal RNA
Rfam family: Bacterial small subunit ribosomal RNA
Source: RNAcentral